UACGUAGGUGGCAAGCGAUACUCGGAAUCACUAGGCGUAAAGCGCAGGUAGGCGGUUCGGUAAGUCUUUUGUGAAAGCUCCCGGCUUAACUGGGAGAGGUCAAGGGAAACUACCGGACUAGAGUGUGGCAGAGGAAGCUGGAAUUCCCGGUGUAGCGGUGAAAUGCGCAGAUAUCAGGAGGAACACCGGUGGCGAAGGCGGGUCUCUGGGCCGAUACUGACGCUGAGGAGCGAAAGCGUGGGGAGCGAACAGG
RNAcentral lists this ribosomal RNA (253 nucleotides) under uncultured bacterium. RNAcentral's name for it is "partial 16S ribosomal RNA". It matches the Rfam family "Bacterial small subunit ribosomal RNA", at positions 524 to 776 of the family's 1533-position model. The record is from RNAcentral.